ACCCGCACAAGCGGUGGAUGAUGUGGUUUAAUUCGAUGCAACGCGAAAACCUUACCCACCUUUGACAUGGCAGGAAUCCCGAAGAGAUUUGGGAGUGCUCGAAAGAGAACCUGCACACAGGUGCUGCAUGGCUGUCGUCAGCUCGUGUCGUGAGAUGUUGGGUUAAGUCCCGCAACGAGCGCAACCCUUGCCAUUAGUUGCUACGAAAGGGCACUCUAAUGGGACUGCCGGUGACAAACCGGAGGAAGGUGGGGAUGACGUCAAGUCCUCAUGGCCCUUAUAGGUGGGGCUACACACGUCAUACAAUGGCCGGUACAGAGGGUAGCCAAACCCGCGAGGGGGAGCCAAUCCCACAAAGCCGGUCGUAGUCCGGAUCGCAGUCUGCAACCUCGACUGCGUGAAGUCAGAAUCGCUAGUAAUCGCGGAAUCAGCAUGUACGCGGUGAAUACGUUCCCGGGUCUU
This 462-nucleotide ribosomal RNA is filed under the name uncultured Allobrachymonas sp. RNAcentral's name for it is "bacterial SSU rRNA". It matches the Rfam family "Bacterial small subunit ribosomal RNA", at positions 919 to 1382 of the family's 1533-position model. Lineage: Bacteria; Pseudomonadati; Pseudomonadota; Betaproteobacteria; Burkholderiales; Comamonadaceae. The record is from RNAcentral.